This 444-nucleotide ribosomal RNA is filed under the name uncultured bacterium. RNAcentral describes it as "bacterial SSU rRNA". It matches the Rfam family "Bacterial small subunit ribosomal RNA", at positions 28 to 507 of the family's 1533-position model. The record is from RNAcentral.
GACGAACGCUGGCGGCGUGCUUUACACAUGCAAGUCGAACGAAAACCUUCCUUCGGGAAAGUGGAAAGUGGCAGACGGGUGAGUAACGCGUGGGAACGUGCCUCUCGGUUCGGAAUAACUCAGGGAAACUUGGGCUAAUACCGAAUACGCCCUUCGGGGGAAAGAUUUAUCGCCGAUGGAUCGGCCCGCGUCAGAUUAGCUUGUUGGUGAGGUAAAGGCUCACCAAGGCGACGAUCUGUAGCUGGUCUGAGAGGAUGAUCAGCCACACUGGGACUGAGACACGGCCCAGACUCCUACGGGAGGCAGCAGUGGGGAAUAUUGGACAAUGGGCGCAAGCCUGAUCCAGCCAUGCCGCGUGGGUGAAGAAGGCCCUAGGGUUGUAAAUCCCUUUCAGCGGGGAAGAUAAUGACGGUACCCGCAGAAGAAGCCCCGGCUAACUCCGUG